Molecule: long non-coding RNA, 675 nt
Organism: Rhododendron vialii
Lineage: Eukaryota; Viridiplantae; Streptophyta; Magnoliopsida; Ericales; Ericaceae
Exons: 4
Source: RefSeq, a predicted model, not a curated record
UCAGAUUAGGGCUUUGAUUAGAUCCCAAAUUCCUAAUCAUCCUAUAUUGACAUUAUAGAUUCAGCUUCAAUCGUACACCAGUUCUGCCCUAUAAAUUGUAGUGGUCGACAAGAAAAUAGAUUUAGUCUAUGGUGGAUGAAGUGUUGGGCUGAUGGGUUUGAUUUCCCGGAGAGUAUAUGACAGAGGUUGCCAUGUUCUUGGGUAAACUAGAGCCAAUAUGUAUUUUACAUAUUUUAAAUCGACAUACUCUUUCAUCAAUUUAAAUUAGGGUCUGUAGUUCAUGUUUUAGCAUAUGACUCAACUCUUAAAUGCUCAACGUGUGCAAGGUCAUUCCUAAAGCAUCCCUCUUGAGGUAUCAAUAAUGUUCUGAUCUGUAACAUUGUUUCCAAUAUUGAUCUGCUAAAUGUUGAUGGGUACUACAACUCUUUGCUUGCAUUAUUUGACAAUGGUGCUGAAGAAGGUUUCAUCAAGCCAAGUGCUCGACACAUCAUCCUUUUCGCUUCAACUGCAAAGUAAAGAUGGAGGUUAUUUGAUGACAUUGAAAGACAUCUUUCUACCGUGAUGAAGGGAACUUCUUUUUCCUAUUAUGUUUGUGAUUGGUUGCAAAAUUAUGUGGAUGAGACAAUGUAAUAUAAAUUGUUAGAAAUUUAUGAAUUUCAUAGUUUUGAUGGAUUA